AUGGCGGCGGCUCUUCGAUUUGCUGCGAGAAAGAUCUGCGGUCGCGCCCUUCAGCGACCACUGCAGCCGUAUCUUACGGCGGCCGCCGAAGCUGCCAUCAAAGAGGACAAGCGGCAGCUGUUGCGCCAUGGCGCGGCCUAUCUUCGCAGGUUCUCCAGCGAAUCGCAAAAUCUUUUCAAGAACAAGCUUGGAGCCAUGUCCGGGGCAAAUCCUGCGGCGGCUUCUCCACUAAUCAAUAAUGCACAAGCCACAUCUCCUCCACCAAUAUGGUCGCCUAGGAACAAAAUGUUCUUACCCCUUGCUGCUGUGUACGUAACGGCCUUAUGUGCAGGAAUCUCUGGAAUACUUUACUAUUGUACUCCCUCCGUCCGGAAAUACUUGUCAUCAAAAUGGAUGAAAAUGGAUGUAUCUAGAACUAAAAUACAUCUAGAUACAUCCAUUUCAAUGACAAGUAUUUUCGGACGGAGGGAGUACCCAUGA
RNAcentral lists this ribosomal RNA (480 nucleotides) under Triticum aestivum (bread wheat). Its description in RNAcentral is "partial small subunit ribosomal RNA". The stretch from base 353 to 477 matches the Rfam family "MIR1120/MIR1122 microRNA precursor family". Lineage: Eukaryota; Viridiplantae; Streptophyta; Magnoliopsida; Poales; Poaceae. The record is from RNAcentral.